GCAUAUCAAUAAGCGGAGGAAAAGAAACCAACAGGGAUUGCCUCAGUAACGGCGAGUGAAGCGGCAAAAGCUCAAAUUUGAAAUCCCCCCGGGGAGUUGUAAUUUGAAGAUUGCGUCUUGGAGGCGACCGUGUCUAUGUUCCUUGGAACAGGACGUCACAGAGGGUGAGAAUCCCGUGCGGCACGGCCCCCGGCUCCUUAUAAGGCGCUCUCGACGAGUCGAGUUGUUUGGGAAUGCAGCUCAAAGUGGGUGGUAAAUUCCAUCUAAAGCUAAAUACAGGCGAGAGACCGAUAGCGAACAAGUACAGUGAUGGAAAGAUGAAAAGCACUUUGAAAAGAGAGUGAAACAGCACGUGAAAUUGUUGAAAGGGAAGGGCAUGCCGUCAGAUUGUCAGUGUGGGUAAGAAGCGGGGUACAAAGACUGUGGAACGUGGCCCUCGGGUGUUAUAGCCGCAGUUCAUGCCCCGUCUCUUCCGAGGCCUGCUUGAGACACGACUUC
This 498-nucleotide ribosomal RNA is filed under the name Kodamaea ohmeri. RNAcentral describes it as "LSU rRNA". It matches the Rfam family "Eukaryotic large subunit ribosomal RNA", at positions 38 to 534 of the family's 3401-position model. The record is from RNAcentral. Lineage: Eukaryota; Fungi; Ascomycota; Pichiomycetes; Serinales; Debaryomycetaceae.